AAAAUUUCAACAAUAGACUUCCUUAUCCACGCACACACAACAUACAUAUUCGUCCUCUUAUUAUACUUUUUUUUUUGAAACAAAAGUUGAGUUUGAGGUUUGCUUGGGGGGUUUCGAGUUCGUGGUUCCCUAUUAGGAUUGCUCUUUUUUCGUGAGUUUGAGUUUCGCAAGAGGUACUAUUUAACAUUUAUUUUAAUUGAUUUUCAUGAUUAUAUAGUACUUAAUUCCAAUGUUAUGAAUUGGCUCAAAAUUUAUGUUUGUUCAACUUUUUCAUUAUAAUAUUGAAAUAUGGUAAACAUGUGUAUUGUUAAAUUUAGAAUAAAUUUUAUAUAAUAUCGUAUUUUGAUCUUUAUGUCUAUUAUUCGGUGAUACCGUUCUUGAUCCUAUUUUACCGCACAAAUUCAUAUGCUGUUUUUUUUACUUAUUUUAAAAAGAAAAAAAAAUUAUUUGUGAGUCUAAGCAUGAAGAAAUUUAUUAUUGAAUUAAAGUUAUUUAUUUAUGUGAGGAUCUAAUCAUGAGUUGUAUAUUUAGUGUAUUUGAACACUUAUGUAUUUGAGCAUAGAGUUGAGGCUUCUACAUUAUUAAUAUCGUGAGAAUAAACUUGCUUCAGUGUUAUAACGAAUAGUACAUCUAAAUGUUGUCUUCAUAUUAUAAUACAAGUUGUUUGUCAACUUUAUUCAUUUUUCUUAAUAUGUAUAUGGUAUCUUUAACAUGAUAGGUGUGUUUGUUUAUUAUUUUUAUCAUCACUUGUUCAAUAAAUAUAAACAAUAAAGAACAAAUUGGAUUAAACAUGAUAAAGGAUAUAUUUAUUGUAAAACUUUAAAUUUAUUUUUUAUUAAAGAUCGUAUAGCUUUGUUAAUUUUUUUAGUCAAGCUUUAAGAUGUGUCGAACUACAAACGAGUUAAGACACAUGGUAAAGUGGAUUUCAAUAAAAAAAUGUGAUUCCACAUCUUUUUUGAGAUAUUUAAAGAUGAGCAUAAUAAUAAUAAUAAUGGUAAUAAUAAUAAUCAUAAUAAUAAUAAUAAUAAUAAUAAUAAUAAUAAUAAUAAUAAUAAUAAUAAUAAUAAUAAUAAUAAUAAUAAUAAUAAUAAUAAUAAUAAUAAUAAUAAUGUUUCAAUUAAGAAUGUGGUUACACAUUUUUUUUUGAAACACUUAAAAGAAAUCUAAGAAUGCAGUUAUGCACCUUGGACAAAUUAUUUUAAUGGUCAAAUUUAUUAAAUUUAAACUAGCAUUUGUAAACUGAGAAUAUUAGGUGAUGCACUCGAGAGGGAAGACAGUUAUGUCUCUAAAUGUCAAGAUCGAGAAUGCAGUUAUGUAUCCGGUUUAAGAUUAAUAAAAAUUCAACAAUUAAAAAAUAAGCAAACCAUGGCAUAUACACAAAUUAUCCAAAAAUAUAUCAAGUAAAGUACAAGUCAAUAAAAGCGACGUGCUAGAAUCACGGGACUCGAGGGAUGCCUAAUACCUUCCCCUCGGUCAUAAGAAUUCCUUACCCGAAUUUCUGGUUCGCAUACCAAAACUAAAGAGUCAUUUCCUUUUGAUUAGGGAUUAAACAAAAAGUGACUUGGAACACCAUAACUCAAUUCCAAGUGGCGACUCUGAAAUAAUAAAAUAAUCCCUAAUCAAUAUUGUCGCUUAAAUUGGAAAAACCCUCCACCGUGCGCGAAAAGGGGUGUGACAAAUAUCCACCAAAUUAGCCUUGGUUUAGCAUCCUUCUUAUUUAAUAGGUACCUACUAGCUGCAUGAUCAGCAUAAACAAUUACCUUGGUACCUACCAAAGAUGAUCUGAACUUGUCGAAAGCGCACACUAGGGUGAGCAUCUCCUUCAAAGUCACUGUGUAAUUAGCUUGUACAGAAUCCAGGGUCUUGCUUCAAUAAUAGAUUCAAUGAAACAUUUUAUCUUUUCUUUGUCCCAAUACCGCACCCACUUCUACAUCGCUUUCAUCACACAUGAGUUCAAAUGGUAAUUCCCAAUAAGGAGAAAUUAAAAUGGGAGCUUAAAUUAAGUUCCUCUUUAACAUCACAAAAACAUUCAAACACAUCUCAUCAAAUCCAAAUUUCACCUCCUUCUCCAAAGGAAUGCACACAGGUCUAGCAAUUUUGGAAAAAUUCUUAAUGAAUCUCCCGUAAAAACGUACAUGUCCAAGGAAACUUUACACCCGUUUUAUAGAGAUAGGAGGGGGCAAUUAUUAAAUAACUUCCACCUUGGCUUUAUCUACCUCUAGUCCCAAUUUUGACACCUUAUGACCAAACAUUAUACCCUCUUGAACCAAGAAGUGACAAUUUUUCCCAAUUCAGUUCUAAAUUGGUGUUUUCACAUCUAGAAAGUACUUUAACAAGAUUCUAGAGACAUACCACAAAAGACUUCCCAAAGAUAGAGGAAUCAUUCAUGAACACCUCUACAAAGACCUACACCAUAUCAUGAAAAAUGGCCAUCAUACACCUUAGAAAAGUCGCCGGCGCAUUGCAAAGUCCAACUGGCAUGCGUUUGAAAGCAUAUGUACCAUAAGGACAAGUAAACAUGGUCUCUUCCUCAUCCUCUAGUGCAAUCAAAAUCUGAUUAUAUCCUAAAUACCCAUCUAAGAAACAAUAGUACUCCUGCCCUGCUAAUCGGUCAAUUAUCUGAUCAAUGAAGGGAACCGUGUAGUGAUAUUUUCGUGUGGUCACAUUUAGCUUCUGGUAAUCUAUACAAAUUCUCCAUUCUGUGACAUUUCUAGUGGGAAUCAACUAAUUUUUAUCGUUCUUUACCACUGUCGUACUUCCCUUCUUGGGAAAAUACUGCACAUGACUUACCCACUUACUAUAAAAAAUUGGAUACACGAUUCCCGCAGCUAACCACUUUAUUACUUCUUUUCUCACCACAUCUUUCAUCAAAGGAUUCAGUCUACGUUGAUGUGGUACACUCGGUUAGUGAUCCUCUUCCAUUUCGAUUUUGUGCAUACAUAACGCCGGACAAAUUCGAUGAAUAUCAGCUAUCUGCCAUCCAAUCGCUUUCUUUCUUCGCUUUAGGACUCUCAAUGCCCUAUCAACCUGUAUUUUACACAACUUUGCAGAAAGCAUUACAGGUAAAGUUUCAUUAGUAUCCGAAUAUGCAUACCUUAGGUGAGAAGGUAGAUAUUUCAAUUCCAACUUAGGUUCUUCUUCAAUUAAUGGUUUGGGUGGAGGCCCUAACUCACGAACCAAUGGCUCUAUUCUAUGCUUUUGUAUCUCCAUUACUGCCAGAUUCAAACAAGUUUCUAUCUCCUGAUCCUCAGUAUCUUCAUCUACAUUAUGUCCCACUAACACUCUUUCUAAGGGAUCCUUGGGUGCAAUGAGCUGUGAUUCUACUGAGAGAUCUACAAUUGUAAUAGCAGAUAACUCUUAAUAGAUAGAAGGGUUUCAAGGCGUGGUAAACAUCAAACAGUUCAACCUUAUCAUGAUCCAUCAUAGUUAACUACCCAACUGUUACAUCAAUCAAUGCCCUCCAUGUAGCCAAUAACAGAUGGCCCAGAAUGAAUGGAAUUUCACGAUCAGGCUCAAAGUUUAGGACCACAAAAUCCACCAAAAAUAAAAGGGAACCCACUUGUACUAACACUUCCUCUACUACCCCUUCUGGCCUAGCAAUGGACCUAUCAAUGAGUCGGGGAAUGACAGUGGUCAGUUUUGGACUACCUAACCCAGUUUCUUAUAUAAUGUUGGAUGCAUGAGAUUAAUGCUAACACCCAAAUCACACAACACCUGGGAAUGAACACAUUGCCCAAUUGUAAUUUUCGUAGUAAAACUACCUAGAUAUUUUAACUUCUUGGGUAAUCUAUUCUGGAUUCUAGAACUGCACUCCUAAGUAAGUGCUACCAUUUCAUACUCUGUGAGCCUUCUCUUGUUAGCCACAAUCUCCUUCACGUACUUAGCAUACUUUAGUAUUCCCUGCAAUAUGUCAACCAAAGGCAGGUUAAUUUGAACCUAUUUAAGAAGAAAGAGAAACCUACCAAAGCAUUCGUCUUCACUCUGCUUUUAAUGCUUUUGUGGAAAUGGACGGGUGUGGUCUCAUUUGAGGAAUGAACUUCUCAACAUUGGAGUUCUUUACCACCCCUUCUGCUUUCUUUUCUUUAGUUCUUACCUCAGUAUCUCUAUUCUUUGGAGCUAGUUCCUCUAGUUGUAACCCACUUCUAGUACUCACCGCAUUCAGUUCUUAGCAUUGGGUUUAGUAUCACCGGGAAAACCUCUUUGAGGACCCAAGUUGAAUGCAUUAUCUACCUGCGCAACUUGCUUUUCUAAACUCAUUGGGAACAUUAGGAUGUUCCUUAUGUUCUGAUUCUUCUUAUCUAUCCUAGCAUUUACCUUAAUACUGAUUUAUGCCAUAAACUUUUGGAGUAACUCUUCAUUAGUCAUUCCCCCUUAGGUGCACUAGAAUUUACGCCCUGGCUAGGAAUUUGGUAUUGUUGUCCUGUCCCUUUUGAGCGAUAUUGGUUAGACUCUUGCACUUGGUUUUGGUUUUGGUUCCCACCCCAUGAGAAAUUAUGAUGCUUUCUCCAACUAUAGUUAUAGGUAUUACCAUAGUUUUGCUGACCUCCACCUCUUUGCGCAUUUCCCACAUAGUUUACGGAAUCCAGAUUUGCCUCACAAUGUUCAGUUUCAUGUGCUCCACUACCACUGACUCUACACUAACUUGCUGUUUGUUGUACAACAUUCACCGGUGCUUGAUUUAGGGACAGUUGCUUGAAGUGCAUGGAUAUGUUAUGUUGCAUUCCAUCCAGUUUUGCAUUUAUUACGCUGGCUUGAUCCACAUCUAAGAUUCCUGCGGCCCUUUGUGUCGUGGUUCUUGGAAUUUCUCCUUCAUAACUGGGGUUUCCUUCGGAGAGUUUAUCUAGGAGAUCGAAUAGCUUCACACAUUUUUUCUAAGGAUUGUCCACCUGUUGCACUAUUAAUAAGUACCUUUGCAUUAUAAUCCAAACCCUCAUAGAAAGUGUGAGAAAGUAUCUCAUUAGCCUGAUAGUGAUGCGGACAAGCAUUUAACAAAUGUUUGAAUCGACCUCAUUCUUGGUACAUUCCUCCCCAUUUUUCUAUGUGGAGCUUAGUAUUUCUCUCCUCAACCAUGCGGUUUUACUUGAUGGAAAGAAUCGACUCAAGAACUUCUUUUCUAGAUAAUCCCAUGUAGUGAUUGAAUUUUGUCGCUCUUCGUCUAACCACUGCCUGGCGGCUCCCAAUAACGAGAUAGGAAACAACGUCAGCCUCACAUAAUCUGAUGACACUCUAUUCGAGAUGUAGGUAUCACUUAUCUCCAAAAAUUUCCUAAUGAGGAUUUGAGGAUCCUUAUGGUGGUUUCCUUAUACUAGACGUCACAUUGGCCUUGAUUGGGACUGCCACAUCAUGAGCUGGUCUUGCCGGUAUGUUCAGGGGUACCUCUUAUUCUUAGUUAUUCAUGUCUUCUUGGUUGUUCACAUUAUCUUCUAUGUUACCCUCACUGGUUUCAUGAAGACCCAACCUAAAUUCUUCUUGACGUCCUAGGUUAGUGAUUCUUCUGUGUCAGCAUAAAGCUUUUUUAGGUUCGUCGUUUGGUUCGACAAGGACUCCUUUCCGAGCCAAACUUAAGAAUCAAGUUCAUGCAAUACAAAAGAGCUAAGAUCAAGUUAUUAACACUUGAACAAUCUAAUUGUAGACUUAAGAAAAUCAAAUAUAAAUCAAUUUCUAACUCCCCGACAGCGGUACCAAAAACUUGUUGCGCCCCAAUAUACACGCAAGUGGACAUGUUUACUCAAGUCAUAUAGUUUCUUUUAUAAACGAGUUUUCGUUCCCAAGGGACUUGUGUUCAUCUUAUAACUAGAAACUUAAUUCUACAAUCAAACGAAAGUAACUUGUUUCUAAGAGUUUGAUGAUUAUUAACUACCAUUACAAAUUAUGCAAUAACUAAAAGUAACUAAUUGCGAACGACUUUAAAUUUGAUGUUUCAAGCAAUUAAAAGACAUUUCCAGGGCUGCAACAUGCAUUGGAUUUCAUGGAUCAUAUCUUAGGCAAUGAACUAAUUUCGAGUAUCAAGUUACUAAUUUACAGGGUUAAUUAUAUGAGUCGGGUCUCUCGACCUCUAGUCGCCUACUACAGUUAGUUGUCUAACUUCAUCGUUGAGCGAGGAUAGUAGGCCUAACUAGCGAGCAUUUAUGUUUCAUCCAGUUUCGUAACCAAGCAAGUUAUUUGUCCUGGCGUCACUCCUGAACACACAUCAACUCAAUGGAAGAUCGGGCUUUCUAUAUUCUUUAGUUUAUCUACCCUUUCCUCUCUUGAUUUUCAGAAUAGACAACAAAUUUAUUUCUUUGGUGAUCAAACAUGAAAUACUAAAAAAAGAAUAUAGAAGUAACUUGAACGAUAACCAAGAAUUAAUUCAAAAACCUUAAAUAUUAAACAUUCAAUAUGUAGCUACAACCCUAGAAAUAGGGCGUUUAGCCACUCAUAAUAUUCGAAAACCAAAGAAUAUAAUUGUUCAUGCGAUUCUUAAAUAAAAUAGAGUCAGCGAAUCGAAACAUAUUACAAAACUUGAAUUCUUGUUCUUGCAUACCAAAAAGUAGUCGAACCCCUUACAAAUCAAAUCUAGGUCCUAUUUAUAGAAUUUAAGAAAAGUAUGUCCAUGUUUAGCCCAAGAAGGAAUACUAUUUUAACCCAACUUUCGCCAAAACAUCUUCUUUGUCUUGGGGUGACGCGCUACAAUCGCGCCUGGCAGCGUUUGCAUUUCACGCUCUUGGCUCCAAAAAUUGCGUGUUUAUUUAUUAAAAGGUUGGAUAGUUAAAGUGCUUGUUUGUGCACUAUGAAAGUUGGAGGUCAAAGUUAAAAUUUGAAGCCAAGUUUAAGGUCCAAUAUAUGUAUUAUGCCUUUAAAAUUUUAACAAUUUCAUGCAUAAAAUAUCCCCAAAUAUCUUCGAUACAACGAGAACAACAUGAAGUCACGUCUCUUGAUAACUAUCCUAUUGCUUUUUACUAAAACCACAUCUAGAAUUUUCCAUCCAACUUCAUCGGCAAGGAGGGACGAAGAGGGGAAGAACCUUACCUUAAAUUGAUGGAGAUUUUUAUUCUUUUAAGUUCGAUUCUUAAAGAAGUGAAGUGUUACAGGGAACAGUUCUAAGUAGGAAAAGAGUUAAAUUAUAGUUACUAACAAAAUAUGUGCUUCUUUAACACUUCUAUGUAUAUGAAUCACUGUAAUAUUGCAUCAAGAUAUUUUGUUAAGAACAGUUUUUCUAUGAUACCAUGUCAAGGUGUAAGAGGCUUAUAUUUCUCACUUGUCACUUCUUCUCCCUUUAGAAUAGCACUAUCAAAGUUGAGUGUUCUUUAGUCAUAUCCUUACAUGUAUUUUUAUUUUUAGAUCCUUAGUAGGUAAAAUAAAGUUAAUGUACCUCUACAAUAAUGAAAAACUUUUCUAAGAAACACGGUUAUGAAAAAAAUAAUUAUAAAUAACUCACAGAUUUCCUUCCAAGUACAACUAUUCUAGGAUAUUAAAAUAAAAUUAUCCAAAUUAUUCAAAAGAAUGUUAUUUUAUAUAAUUUUCUAGGCAGAGUUAUGAAUUCUUACCUUGUAUAGUGGCUCAAGGACCCACCAUCCAUAAUCUCACUAAAUAUAGCUACUUGUUGUCGUGGAAUUGAAGACAUCAAAUAACUUAGCUUGGCUCCUAAACUCUUUUAAAUAAUAGCAGUGUUGCAAUAUAAUAAGGGCAUCAAAAUUUGAAUAAAAUGUUACAUUAAAUGCAAACUUUUCUUAGUAUGAAAGCUAUAUUUAUCAUUCAUAAUUCAUAUGCAGUUUUUUGGGUAUUAUAAUUUUAUUAUAAAAGUGUACUAUCUAGUAGUGAACUAAGUAACCUAAUAUGAAUAGAAGCACGAAAAAUUAAUAUAAAAUUGACUUUUACUUGAAUUCAAGGGCUUCAAGCUUGUUCUUGAAUAUGAUGGUCUUGUUCUUGAUCGUUCUUUAACUUGAAUGCUUGAAUUCUUAAACUUGUAGAUUAUAGUGAACUUUGUGGCGUUUCUACCAUAUGUUUUCUCUAGUUUCUUGUUUAGAAUUUUCGGUCCUUUUUUCUGAAUUAUGAGGACCCCUAUUUAUAGUUUUAAAAUAGAGGAGUUGUGAUUGGUAAAGGACUCCCUUCGUCCAAUCAGAUUUAAGGGACGUGGCAUAUGGGCUUUAUGGAGCGGGCUUUAAUUAAAUUCAUCUUUAUUGGAUUUAAAUAAUUUUCAAUUAGAUUAAUCCAUAAUAUUUAUUUGUAUUUCGGAAUUUAAUAUAAUCCGAAUCAUUUUAUAAAUUUAUAUUGAAUAAAUUUUAAAUGAUUACAAAUGCACCCUGCUUCACGUCUUGUCAAAAUAUUUUAUCAUUUGAAGACUAGACUUGAAGUAUUAACUUAUAUUAUAUGUCAUGUAUUUUUAUAUUCACCGUGAAUAUAUUAAUUAAUACAAUGCUCCACCAUAAUUAGAGAGACAUAUUUGAGUAAACAAUAAGACUUUAGUUACGAAUGCUUCACGUGGCCAGUACCCCUUCUCAAUGUGCAUGUACAAUUAGAGUAGGAGAAGGAGUGUUCAACCUCUUCCAGUUAAAUACGAGAAGAACAACUUUCCGUCCUAACUAAAUAUGAAUUGUAGUUAACGUAGGAAAAUGAUUUUUAAUCAAAAUGUACUUCACAUAGAAUUCAAACUAAAGAGGAAUUAUACGUAACAUAGGAAAAUGAUUUCUCACCACCACUUAUCCUCUAUAAGUAGAGGCCUGCUAUUAUUGUCUUUUUUAUUCUCAAUCAUUAACUAUUACAUACUUCCCACUUUGGAUAUCGUUGGAGCUUCCACGAGCAGGUAUCAAGGUAUGUGUUUUUUUUUGCUUUAUACCUUUAUUUUGUGUGGGUGUUCUUCCUCUUUUUUUGUGUCUUUCUUUUCAGAGACAAACAUAAAAAAUAUUAGUAUUUUGUGGGGCCUAUACAAUAGAGAGCUUUAUCAUAACACAAGAGCUUGAUCUUGAGGUUUGAAGGGAUGUGUUUAACGUCCCCAUCUUGAAGAUCACUAACUUGAGGCUUUACUAAAUUUUGAAUACUUGAGCAUAAGGUGUGAAGGGAUGUGUUUAACGUCCCCGCCUUGAAGAUCACUAACUUGAGGCUUUACUAAAAUUCCAAAUACUUGAGCAUAAGGUGUGAAGGGAUGUGUGAUGAGUCCGAGAUUUCAACUCAUUUAGGGCUUUGUUAUGAUAGUUUAAGUAUCCUCAAAUGCCUAUUUUAUGCUAUAAACUGAUGUUAAAGCAUUGAUUUGCAGGUAUGUAGACUAAGGAUCAAGGCAAGGACACUACCAGGC
This 9271-nucleotide long non-coding RNA is filed under the name Solanum tuberosum (potato). RNAcentral describes it as "long non-coding RNA (STUB_LNC009145)". The record is from RNAcentral. Lineage: Eukaryota; Viridiplantae; Streptophyta; Magnoliopsida; Solanales; Solanaceae.